RNAcentral lists this ribosomal RNA (763 nucleotides) under uncultured Streptococcus sp. RNAcentral describes it as "bacterial SSU rRNA". It matches the Rfam family "Bacterial small subunit ribosomal RNA", at positions 28 to 776 of the family's 1533-position model. Lineage: Bacteria; Bacillati; Bacillota; Bacilli; Lactobacillales; Streptococcaceae. The record is from RNAcentral.
GACGAACGCUGGCGGCGUGCCUAAUACAUGCAAGUAGAACGCUGAAGGAGGAGCUUGCUUCUCCGGAUGAGUUGCGAACGGGUGAGUAACGCGUAGGUAACCUGCCUGGUAGUGGGGGAUAACUAUUGGAAACGAUAGCUAAUACCGCAUAAGAGUAGAUAUUGCAUGACAUUUGCUUAAAAGGUGCAAUUGCAUCACUACCAGAUGGACCUGCGUUGUAUUAGCUAGUUGGUGGGGUAACGGCUCACCAAGGCGACGAUACAUAGCCGACCUGAGAGGGUGAUCGGCCACACUGGGACUGAGACACGGCCCAGACUCCUACGGGAGGCAGCAGUAGGGAAUCUUCGGCAAUGGACGGAAGUCUGACCGAGCAACGCCGCGUGAGUGAAGAAGGUUUUCGGAUCGUAAAGCUCUGUUGUAAGAGAAGAACGAGUGUGAGAGUGGAAAGUUCACACUGUGACGGUAUCUUACCAGAAAGGGACGGCUAACUACGUGCCAGCAGCCGCGGUAAUACGUAGGUCCCGAGCGUUGUCCGGAUUUAUUGGGCGUAAAGCGAGCGCAGGCGGUUAGACAAGUCUGAAGUUAAAGGCUGUGGCUUAACCAUAGUACGCUUUGGAAACUGUUUAACUUGAGUGCAAGAGGGGAGAGUGGAAUUCCAUGUGUAGCGGUGAAAUGCGUAGAUAUAUGGAGGAACACCGGUGGCGAAAGCGGCUCUCUGGCUUGUAACUGACGCUGAGGCUCGAAAGCGUGGGGAGCAAACAGG